CUUGGACAGCUGCUCUUUCUCUCGACUCUGGAAUGUAAAUCACACUGGAUAAUGUCAAAACGCAAGUACAAAUUGAACCUAACAGCACAAUUAAAUUACCCCGUGCAAGACUGAAAAGAGGACAUAAUGCAUUGCUCUUCACAGAUGACUGCAGAUUUGAUCUUGAUCAAGGAGGAUCACACACUGCAGAUGUUGAGACCAUGUCUACAUCUGGCCACUUGAAGCUUACACAGCAAUCUGAUCCAGAUCACACGGCUGAUCAGGUGAGCUC
Long non-coding RNA from Micropterus dolomieu (smallmouth bass), 271 nucleotides. RefSeq lists it as uncharacterized. The transcript has 4 exons. NCBI's taxonomy places the organism in Eukaryota, Metazoa, Chordata, Actinopteri, Centrarchiformes, Centrarchidae. The record is from RefSeq and is a predicted model, not a curated record.